This 85-nucleotide transfer RNA is filed under the name Bacteroidota bacterium. RNAcentral describes it as "tRNA-Leu". It matches the Rfam family "tRNA". Rfam says of the family: Transfer RNA (tRNA) molecules are approximately 80 nucleotides in length. Their secondary structure includes four short double-helical elements and three loops (D, anti-codon, and T loops). Lineage: Bacteria; Pseudomonadati; Bacteroidota. RNAcentral also lists the same sequence under 1 other name. The record is from RNAcentral.
GCGGGUAUGGUGGAAUUGGUAGACACGCUAGACUUAGGAUCUAGUGCCGCAAGGCAUGGGGGUUCGACUCCCUCUACCCGCACCA